GGGGCUGAUUCUGGAUUCGACGGGAUUUGCGAAACCCAAGGUGCAUGCCGAGGGGCGGUUGGCCUCGUAAAAAGCCGCAAAAAAUAGUCGCAAACGACGAAAACUACGCUUUAGCAGCUUAAUAACCUGCUUAGAGCCCUCUCUCCCUAGCCUCCGCUCUUAGGACGGGGAUAAAGAGAGGUCAAACCCAAAAGAGAUCGCGUGGAAGCCCUGCCUGGGGUUGAAGCGUUAAAACUUAAUCAGGCUAGUUUGUUAGUGGCGUGUCCGUCCGCAGCUGGCAAGCGAAUGUAAAGACUGACUAAGCAUGUAGUACCGAGGAUGUAGGAAUUUCGGACGCGGGUUCAACUCCCGCCAGCUCCACCA
RNAcentral lists this transfer-messenger RNA (363 nucleotides) under Escherichia coli. It matches the Rfam family "transfer-messenger RNA". Rfam says of the family: Bacterial tmRNA, also known as 10Sa RNA or SsrA, is named for its dual tRNA and mRNA-like properties. Its role is to liberate the mRNA from a stalled ribosome. The record is from RNAcentral. Lineage: Bacteria; Pseudomonadati; Pseudomonadota; Gammaproteobacteria; Enterobacterales; Enterobacteriaceae.